RNAcentral lists this non-coding RNA (161 nucleotides) under Emiliania huxleyi. Lineage: Eukaryota; Haptophyta; Isochrysidales; Noelaerhabdaceae. The record is from RNAcentral.
AUCUCCCCAUAUCUCCCCCUAUCUCGAGGACGCAACGGUGUCCUCACUCAACCAUGACCGACACUAGGCGUACAUCCUCGACGGCGAGCGAGCCACCUGGCCUCACCUCGAGCUCAUCCGCUCUCUCACCGACAUCGAGUACACUCUCGACGCGGUGGCGG